UGAGUUUGUGCUCUUCGAUGAGAGAUGCAGUAUCACCCUGAGGAAUUUUAAUGGGGGGGCGACGGGCUUCUCUAGGUGGGUCUGGGAUCCACUUCCCUUUGUCUUUUCUUGAGCUUCGAUAUGCCAUUCUAUAACACAACAGUAUUCAACUGUAAAGGUAGAAACUUUUCCACAACUGCAGUGAGACGCAGUAACUUCCGAAACUACCGCUUGAGUAGGACCUUAGUGACAAGGUAUGUUGUUGACUGUACUAGACAGUAAAACGAGGGCCAGCUGGAGUUAAACCAAAUCUUCUUGCUGACCAUCCGUGAGUGAGCAGUAAAUUUGAUUUUUCACUAACAUCAUCUUCCCAACCAGAUCUGUAAUAAAUGCUUCACAAGACGACAUAAUACUCUGGGGGAAAGGGUGGUGCUCCAGGGGAAUCAGAUCCGUCGCAGAUCUACGAUAUCAGAAAGUAGAUGCGGUGGUUCAUGGUUGAGAUGCGGCUGAGCGGGGAGGUUGAUACGGUGGUGAAAGGUGUUUGACAAAAGGUAGCGAAACCCUUGGUAACUGUGCCUGGGAGAAUAUUUUAAUCUCUCUGUUUAGCUUGACUUGUGUCUGUGGGGUUUAUUUCCAAUGAAUCUGUUUUAGAUUCAGUUUUUGUUUGAAGAUUCUUCAUAGCCUUAGACAUUAGUCAUUUUCUGCCUAAAGACUUUUUAAGCCGAUAGUAGUUUUUGUAAAGUCAUAGCCUUUGUCUAAAACGUUUUUUUAGCAAAGCCGUUGAUCUUUUCUAAGCCGUAGGUACUAAUGUAUAAUUGAACACUUUUGCAACCAACCUUUGUUUAAAGACUGUUUUGAAAGCCGUGGC
This 847-nucleotide long non-coding RNA is filed under the name Brassica napus (rape). RNAcentral describes it as "long non-coding RNA (BNAP_LNC006928)". Lineage: Eukaryota; Viridiplantae; Streptophyta; Magnoliopsida; Brassicales; Brassicaceae. The record is from RNAcentral.